AUUGAACGCUGGCGGCAUGCCUUACACAUGCAAGUCGAACGGCAGCACGGGAGCAAUCCUGGUGGCGAGUGGCGAACGGGUGAGUAAUACAUCGGAACGUGCCCAGUCGUGGGGGAUAACUACUCGAAAGAGUGGCUAAUACCGCAUACGACCUGAGAGUGAAAGCGGGGGAUCGCAAGACCUCGCGCGAUUGGAGCGGCCGAUGGCAGAUUAGCUAGUUGGUGGGGUAAAGGCCUACCAAGGCUACGAUCUGUAGUUGGUCUGAGAGGACGACCAGCCACACUGGGACUGAGACACGGCCCAGACUCCUACGGGAGGCAGCAGUGGGGAAUUUUGGACAAUGGGCGCAAGCCUGAUCCAGCAAUGCCGCGUGCAGGAAGAAGGCCUUCGGGUUGUAAACUGCUUUUGUCAGGGAAGAAAUCCUCUGGGUUAAUACCUCGGGGGGAUGACGGUACCUGAAGAAUAAGCACCGGCUAACUACGUGCCAGCCGCCGCCGUAACAC
RNAcentral lists this ribosomal RNA (503 nucleotides) under uncultured bacterium. RNAcentral describes it as "bacterial SSU rRNA". It matches the Rfam family "Bacterial small subunit ribosomal RNA", at positions 29 to 526 of the family's 1533-position model. The record is from RNAcentral.